RNAcentral lists this ribosomal RNA (521 nucleotides) under Saitozyma podzolica. RNAcentral's name for it is "LSU rRNA". It matches the Rfam family "Eukaryotic large subunit ribosomal RNA", at positions 127 to 638 of the family's 3401-position model. The record is from RNAcentral. Lineage: Eukaryota; Fungi; Basidiomycota; Tremellomycetes; Tremellales; Trimorphomycetaceae.
UCCUACGGGCGUCCGCAUUGUAAUCUAUAGAGGCGUUUUCUGUGCUGGACCGUGUCCAAGUCCCUUGGAACAGGGUAUCAAAGAGGGUGACAAUCCCGUACUUGACACGACAACCAGUGCUCUGUGAUACGUCUUCUACGAGUCGAGUUGUUUGGGAAUGCAGCUCAAAAUGGGUGGUGAAUUCCAUCUAAAGCUAAAUAUUGGCGAGAGACCGAUAGCGAACAAGUACCGUGAGGGAAAGAUGAAAAGCACUUUGGAAAGAGAGUUAAACAGUAUGUGAAAUUGUUGAAAGGGAAACGAUGGAGGUCAGUCGUGUCUGUGGGAUUCAGCCGUCUCUGGCGGUGUACUUCCCACAGACGGGUCAACAUCAGUUUUGGCUGGCGGAUAAAGGCAGGAGGAAGGUGGCACCCCCGGGUGUGUUAUAGCCUCUUGUUGCAUACGCUGGCUGAGACUGAGGAAUGCAGCUCGCCUUUAUGGCCGGGGUUCGCCCACGUUCGAGCUUAGGAUGUUGACAUAAUGGC